GAUAUUGCACAAUGGGGGAAACCCUGAUGCAGCGACGCCGCGUGAGGGAAGACGGUCCUCUGGAUUGUAAACCUCUGUCUUCGGGGACGAUAAUGACGGUACCCGAGGAGGAAGCCACGGCUAACUACGUGCCCGCAGCCGCGGUAAUACGUAGGUGGCGAGCGUUGUCCGGAAUUACUGGGUGUAAAGGGAGCGUAGGCGGGAAUGUAAGUUGAAUGUUAAAUCCAUCGGCUCAACCGGUGUACGCGUUCAAAACUACAUUUCUUGAGUGAAGUAGAGGCAGGCGGAAUUCCUAGUGUAGCGGUGAAAUGCGUAGAUAUUAGGAGGAACACCAGUGGCGAAGGCGGCCUGCUGGGCUUUUACUGACGCUGAGGCUCGAAAGUGUGGGGAGCAAACAGG
RNAcentral lists this ribosomal RNA (399 nucleotides) under uncultured bacterium. RNAcentral describes it as "partial 16S ribosomal RNA". It matches the Rfam family "Bacterial small subunit ribosomal RNA", at positions 359 to 776 of the family's 1533-position model. The record is from RNAcentral.